Molecule: long non-coding RNA, 181 nt
Filed under: Coturnix japonica (Japanese quail)
Lineage: Eukaryota; Metazoa; Chordata; Aves; Galliformes; Phasianidae
Description: lncRNA (ENSCJPG00005016557.1)
Source: RNAcentral
AGUGUCCACAAUUUGCAAGUAACAGAUUAUGACUGCAAAGCAUCUAUCAGCAUCAGUAGAGGAGAAGGAAAAAAAAUACCAAUUAUGAUGGAAGCUGUUUCCCUUCAAGCUGGGUGAAAGGAGAAUUAUAAUACCUACUGAUCAAGUUAUAGUAAUGUAUCUAGUCUUCAUUAAAGGUAAG